GAUUAACGCUAGCGGCAGGCCUAACACAUGCAAGUCGAGGGGUAACAGGUGUAGCAAUACAUGCUGACGACCGGCGCACGGGUGAGUAACGCGUAUGCAACCUACCUUUAACAGGAAGAUAGCCCCGAGAAAUCGGGAUUAAUACUCCAUAAUGAUUAAGAAUCGCAUGGUUUUUAAUUUAAAGUUCCGACGGUUAAAGAUGGGCAUGCGUGACAUUAGUUAGUUGGUGAGGUAACGGCUCACCAAGACCACGAUGUCUAGGGGUUCUGAGAGGAUUAUCCCCCACACUGGUACUGAGACACGGACCAGACUCCUACGGGAGGCAG
RNAcentral lists this ribosomal RNA (326 nucleotides) under uncultured Bacteroidota bacterium. Its description in RNAcentral is "bacterial SSU rRNA". It matches the Rfam family "Bacterial small subunit ribosomal RNA", at positions 28 to 351 of the family's 1533-position model. Lineage: Bacteria; Pseudomonadati; Bacteroidota. The record is from RNAcentral.